This 254-nucleotide ribosomal RNA is filed under the name uncultured bacterium. RNAcentral's name for it is "partial 16S ribosomal RNA". It matches the Rfam family "Bacterial small subunit ribosomal RNA", at positions 526 to 779 of the family's 1533-position model. The record is from RNAcentral.
CGUAGGGUGCGAGCGUUGUCCGGAAUUAUUGGGCGUAAAGAGCUCGUAGGCGGCCUGUUGCGUCCGCUGUGAAAGCCCGGGGCUUAACCCCGGGUCUGCAGUGGAUACGGGCAGGCUAGAGUUCGGCAGGGGAGACUGGAAUUCCUGGUGUAGCGGUGAAAUGCGCAGAUAUCAGGAGGAACACCGGUGGCGAAGGCGGGUCUCUGGGCCGAUACUGACGCUGAGGAGCGAAAGCGUGGGGAGCGAACAGGAUU